GGAACUUUCAGGGGCUGUGAGGCUUGAUGGGUUAAGGGGAGAUGAAGAGGUUGGUAAUGGAAUGGUAUUGUCUAAUAAGUUUUGUAAGUCAAUUAAAUGUCGAUGCAUAAGGAGGAAGCUGUUGGCAGUUUGCAGACUGAGAUCUUGAAAAUCUAUAUCCUCUAAACAAGUGUUGGUGUGUUCAAAUGCCUUUUGGGAUGCUCUGAAGCGCUGGAGAAGAUCAUUAUUAUGUUAUUGAACGUCUUCUCCGAACAAGAUAGGGAACUAUAGCAAUUUUCUUUUUUAAUUGAUCAUUCUUAUUGUUCGU
RNAcentral lists this unclassified non-coding RNA (307 nucleotides) under Hevea brasiliensis (rubber tree). The record is from RNAcentral. Lineage: Eukaryota; Viridiplantae; Streptophyta; Magnoliopsida; Malpighiales; Euphorbiaceae.